GCCAGAUGAUGAUAGAAAACUCUCCUGAGCAACAUUGUUUUCAAAAUUAUCAACCAGAGUAAAUUGUUUUGAAUCUUGAAUGCUGUACUGAGAUUGUGCAGUGUUUGUAAGGCGAAACAUAGAGUAGAUAUGUCAACUGCAGACAUUUCUGUUCCUGAGUUGUGGGAACAGAGUCUCUGUGUGUGGCAAACAGGGGUGAAUUUUUGUGAAGUCCAUUAUACUGAUAUGAAACAGUGUUUGAAGAUUCUUUAGUAAUCUGAUGGCA
Molecule: small nucleolar RNA, 265 nt
Organism: Saccostrea echinata
Lineage: Eukaryota; Metazoa; Mollusca; Bivalvia; Ostreida; Ostreidae
Source: RefSeq, a predicted model, not a curated record